GGGAUAAAAAGUGUCAUCACAGCGCAUCAACUGAAUCUGUUUUUGUGUUGUGCAUAGGACCUCUCAUAAACAGCAAUGACGGUUAUUCCAAACCAGAUGCACCAAUUUGAAACCUCACAAUCCAGGAUUCUGCAAAAAUCAGCUGAGCAAGCAUUUAAAACAAAACUGAUGGACGAUGUGAUAAGAUUCCUGACUGAAUGAUUUUUGACAGGCCCCAUGGGUGUACUUCACCCUAAAGACAACAAGGCCAGGGAGCCAUCCAAGUGACUGGAGCUAAAUAAGACCCCCGUGACCUGAGGAGUCACACGGCUGAAAGCAAAAGUAACAGUGUGGAUGACUUGUUGCUAAGAAAAAUGAGCUGCCGAUUGAGACAAAUGAUUUUCCCAAAUCUAGAAGUGCUGUGAACAGUUUUAAAAAUAAAAUGCAAUGGAAAAAUGCCUACAGAAUUGCCUGAAAUGUACAGUAUAUUAUUUGCAUCAUUUCAAAAUGUUGGUUAGGUAGUUUAGUGUGAAUUAUACAGUUCAUUAAUUAAGGUUAAAAAAAGACAGAACAAAUAACUAUCAUGAAUUAUUUUUUGUUCAAACACAACAUGGGUAUUAUUAUUUGCACAAUUCUUUUACAUUUAGCAAAUUCUUUCA
Molecule: long non-coding RNA, 638 nt
Organism: Austrofundulus limnaeus
Lineage: Eukaryota; Metazoa; Chordata; Actinopteri; Cyprinodontiformes; Rivulidae
Exons: 3
Source: RefSeq, a predicted model, not a curated record